This is a long non-coding RNA of Eptesicus fuscus (big brown bat), 476 nucleotides long. RefSeq lists it as uncharacterized. Lineage: Eukaryota; Metazoa; Chordata; Mammalia; Chiroptera; Vespertilionidae. The record is from RefSeq and is a predicted model, not a curated record. The transcript is spliced from 3 exons.
UGCCCCAGCGGCACGUGGGGCAGGGGCCUCGCGAAAACACUGGCUGCCGGGCCUCAACGGCCAGGGUUCCUGAGGCCGUGGGUCUGGGGACGUUUUCAGCCCCGGCUCAGUUAGCAUCACCUGGGGAGUGUUUUGGAAACCCAAACCAAUCAAAGAGAGAGUGUUUGUUUGCCUACCGUGGGCCUCUACAGGCCAGGGUUGUAUUUUGUAUCUAGUCUUAUCUCACCGGCCCUUACCCUGCGCCCGGGUCGGAGCACCUGACUCAGAGGACCGGCCAGUUCACAUUGGCUUCCUGCUGGUGUGGAUGUUCACCGAGAGGUGCGACCGGACCUCGGAGAAGGGCAUGGGGGAUUAUCGCUUUAAUCCCGAGGAGGCUUCUCCUGUCACUCAGCAGAGUUCACUCCGUGUCCCCCUACCAUGCAGCUGGCUGUGGGCUGGGAGAAUGUAUUUGUUAUCCUGAUCCGGGAGAAAUAAAA